Molecule: ribosomal RNA, 478 nt
Filed under: uncultured bacterium
Lineage: Bacteria
Description: partial 16S ribosomal RNA
Rfam family: Bacterial small subunit ribosomal RNA
Source: RNAcentral
GACGAACGCUGGCGGCGUGCUUAACACAUGCAAGUCGAGCGAUGAAGCUUCUUCGGAAGUGGAUUAGCGGCGGACGGGUGAGUAACACGUGGGUAACCUGCCUCAUAGAGGGGAAUAGCCUUCCGAAAGGAAGAUUAAUACCGCAUAAGAUUGUAAUAUCGCAUGAUAUAGCAAUUAAAGGAGUAAUCCGCUAUGAGAUGGACCCGCGGUCGCAUUAGCUAGUUGGUGAGGUAACGGCUCACCAAGGCGACGAUGCGUAGCCGACCUGAAAGGGGGUGCGGCACAAUUGGGACUGAGAACGGCCCAAGACUCCUAGGGGAGGAGGCGGUGGGGAAUAUUGCAAAAUGGGGAAACCCUGAUGCAGCAACGCCGCGUGAGUGAUGACGGUCUUCGGAUUGUAAAGCUCUGUCUUCAGGGACGAUAAUGACGGUACCUGAGGAGGAAGCCACGGCUAACUACGUGCCAGCCGCCGCAGUAA